AUUGAACGCUGGCGGCAUGCCUUACACAUGCAAGUCGAACGGCAGCACGGGUGCUUGCACCUGGUGGCGAGUGGCGAACGGGUGAGUAAUACAUCGGAACAUGUCCUGUAGUGGGGGAUAGCCCGGCGAAAGCCGGAUUAAUACCGCAUACGAUCUACGGAUGAAAGCGGGGGACCUUCGGGGCUCGCGCUAUAGGGUUGGCCGAUGGCUGAUUAGCUAGUUGGUGGGGUAAAGGCCUACCAAGGCGACGAUCAGUAGCUGGUCUGAGAGGACGACCAGCCACACUGGGACUGAGACACGGCCCAGACUCCUACGGGAGGCAGCAGUGGGGAAUUUUGGACAAUGGGCGAAAGCCUGAUCCAGCAAUGCCGCGUGUGUGAAGAAGGCCUUCGGGUUGUAAAGCACUUUUGUCCGGAAAGAAAUCCUUGGCCCUAAUACGGUCGGGGGAUGACGGUACCGGAAGAAUAAGCACCGGCUAACUACGUG
RNAcentral lists this ribosomal RNA (486 nucleotides) under uncultured bacterium. Its description in RNAcentral is "partial 16S ribosomal RNA". It matches the Rfam family "Bacterial small subunit ribosomal RNA", at positions 30 to 507 of the family's 1533-position model. The record is from RNAcentral.